CUGCAAAUAUUCUCACUGUUCUGAUUUUGCGAUAAUUAGGGCAGGCCAAAUGUUCACUAUGUUAGGACCGUGCAUGUGUCCCCAGAUCUAGUUCUUUACCUAGGUCUCGUUUUAUAAAUGCUGGUGAUAAAC
Molecule: small nucleolar RNA, 132 nt
Organism: Bison bison bison
Lineage: Eukaryota; Metazoa; Chordata; Mammalia; Artiodactyla; Bovidae
Gene: SNORA72
Rfam family: Small nucleolar RNA SNORA72
About the family: U72 is a member of the H/ACA class of snoRNAs.
Source: Ensembl